Phyllopteryx taeniolatus (common seadragon) is the source of this 185-nucleotide small nuclear RNA. RefSeq annotates it as U2 spliceosomal RNA. The record is from RefSeq and is a predicted model, not a curated record. NCBI's taxonomy places the organism in Eukaryota, Metazoa, Chordata, Actinopteri, Syngnathiformes, Syngnathidae. The transcript has a single exon.
AUCGCUUCUCGACCUUUUGGUUAAGAUCAAGUGAAGUAUCUGUUCUUAUUAGUUUUAUAUCUGCUACGUUCCCUAUACUAUAUAUUAAAUGGAUUUUUGGAAUUGGGAGAUGGAAUUGGGGCUUGCUCCGUCCACUCCACGCAUCGACCUGGUAUUACAGUACCUCCAGGAACAGUGCACCCCCA